This 418-nucleotide ribosomal RNA is filed under the name uncultured bacterium. RNAcentral's name for it is "bacterial SSU rRNA". It matches the Rfam family "Bacterial small subunit ribosomal RNA", at positions 358 to 773 of the family's 1533-position model. The record is from RNAcentral.
GGAAUAUUGGUCAAUGGACGAAAGUCUGAACCAGCCAUGCCGCGUGGAGGAUGAAGGUCCUCUGGAUUGUAAACUUCUUUUAUAUGGGACGAAAAAGGGCUGUGUUAAGUCAACUGACGGUACCAUAUGAAUAAGCACCGGCUAACUCCGUGCCAGAAGCCGAGGUAAUACGGAGGGUGCAAGCGUUAUCCGGAUUCACUGGGUUUAAAGGGUGCGUAGGUGGGCUGGUAAGUCAGUGGUGAAAUCCCCGAGCUUAACUUGGGAACUGCCAUUGAUACUAUCAGUCUUGAAUGCCGUGGAGGUCAGCGGAAUAUGUCAUGUAGCGGUGAAAUGCUUAGAUAUGACAUAGAACACCAAUUGCGAAGGCAGCUGGCUACACGAAUAUUGACACUGAGGCACGAAAGCGUGGGGAUCAAAC